Oncorhynchus tshawytscha (Chinook salmon) is the source of this 2943-nucleotide long non-coding RNA. The record is from Ensembl. Lineage: Eukaryota; Metazoa; Chordata; Actinopteri; Salmoniformes; Salmonidae.
CCUCCCCAAGCCCAAAUAUGAAAAAUUAUGCUAUUAAAAAAAAUUGCACCGCAUCAACUCGUCAUUUAACGGAUUACAGUUUGAAUCGGACAGCAGCCAAUCAAAUUGUGCCAGCAGAGAAAAAGUUGCGCAUGGCAGUGCAGAGGAACAUUGGUGGGUGAAUUCAGAUGGAGCCCUUGUAAAGAUGAUACCCCAAAUUAUUAUUUUCGGAUAUAAAGACAAUACUGUAGUCACCAAAAAAUGGAUUGCAACUUGCAAAACAUGCGGGAAGAAAAUUAUAGACGGAAGCGCAACAACUUCCAACUUUGUUUGACAUUUGAAGCUGCACAAAGAACGAUUUGAACAAUUCCAGAAGAACAAAAGUGUCAGAAGUGAACCACAAAAGUCUCCAAUCUCACAGUUCAUGGAGACCCGUGUAGGGCAGUACAGCAUGAAUCAUCCACAGCAGAAAGCUAUCAACAAAGCAAUACUGUCCAACCUGGUUAUCGAUUGCAACUUGCCGAAAAAAGUUUUCGUCACUUUCUGUCAAUGGUUGACAGUAAGUACAGCCCAGUGUGUCGCAGAACAUUGACAUCAAAAGUAGAGAACCUCGCUACAGAGAGAUGUUAAAAACUGAAAACUCAUUUGAGCGACACAGACCAUGUUUCAGUCACAGUGGACAUUUGGUCCGACCAAAAGAUGAGGGGGUUUCUUGGUGUCACUGUGCACUGUAUGGAGAAAGAUGGAGAGAGGAUACAGCUCAAAGUCCAAUCUCUUGGCCUGUGACCGCUUCAAAGGCCCACACACGGCCGAAAGAAUCUGUGAGCAAUUUGAGGCCAUAUGUGAUGAGUACAGCAUUAAAGAUAAAUUGAACUAUAUCAUUAGUGACAAUGCUGCCAACAUGAGAAAAGCAUUCACGGUGUGCUUCUCCAUUGAACAGGAUGAUGGAGUACAUGAUGAAGAUCACAAUGAUGACCCAGAGCUCUGGAAUGACCUAACCCUGGAAGACCAGCAGACAGUGGAUGCUGCUAUUGCAAAAAAAACAGCGCUCGCAGUGUUUUGCCCACACUCUCCAGCUGGUUGUGGGAGAUGGCUUGAAAGAAACAAAAGUGAUGACUCCUUCUCUUUCAAAGUUAUCGAAAAUCAGCUCACUGCUGCAUACAAGCACAACAUUCAAAUUUGGGGAAAGAGGCAUGCCUACUGCUGUCAACACAAGAUGGAACUCAACACUGAGUAAAGUGAAGGCAGUAAUCCAAUGUGGCCAUCUAAAGCUCUGUCAUGUUCUAGAAAAGGCUGGGCACAAGGAGUUGUUGUUCACAGUACGGGAGUGGAAUAAGGAGUUGGUGGACAUCCUGAAGCCAUUUGGAGCAACAGAUAUGACACAGGGGGAGAAGAUAGUCACAAUCAGUUCUGUUGUUCCCUCUGUCCUGUCCCUAAAUCACCACCUGGAGCAGCAGAAGAAUCAAGUCCAUUUCCUGAGCGGCCUGGUCAGAAGUCUCCAUGCAUCCCUGAACAAAAUAUUUAUUGGAAUCUUCAUCAAUGUGAAAAUGGCCAAGACAAGAUGGAAUCACUGCCCCCUUUUCAGAUCCAGUCUACCUCAAAGCAGCUGCCUUUGAUCCGGCUUUUUCUCUGAUGUGGGUGGAGCAGGUGUGCUGGUCAAGGAGGAGGUGGCACAAAGAGUGAAAGAACUGAUUCUGCAAGAUGCUGCAGGGACUGAGCAAGCUGUGCCUCUUGUUGAUGAGGAAGAGCGAGAGGACCAUAGUCCUGGACAAGAAGAAGAGCUGUUUGCAGCAUACUGUCCCCAAAGCACACACAUCCCUGGGUCGCUCGUCUUUUCAGUUCGACGCAGCUAGCGACUGGAACGAGCUGCAACAAGCGCUUAAACUGGACAGUUUUAUCUCCAUCUCUUCAUUCAAAGACUUAACCAUGGACGACACUCUUACUGACAGUUGUGGCUGUUUUGCGUGAUGUAUUGUUCUCUCUACCUUCUUGCCCUUUGUGCUGUUGUCUGUGCCCAAUAAUGUUUGUACCCUGUUUUGUGCUGCUACCAUGUUGUGCUGCUGCCAUGUUGUAUUGCUACCAUGCUGUGUUGUCAUGUGUUACUGCCAUGCUAUGUUGUUGUCUUAGGUAUCUCUUUAUCUAGUGUUGUGUUGUCUCUCUUGUUGUGAUGUGUGUUUUAUCCUAUAUUUUUAAUCUCAGCCCCCGCAGGAGGCCUUUUGCAUUUUGGUAGGCUGUCAUUGUAAAUAAGAAUUUGGUCUUAACUGACUUGCCUAGUUAAGUAAAGGUUCAAUUAAAAAAAUACAUAAUGAAAGAUGUAAAAACCUACUGGGCCAUUAAUUAACUUGCAAAGUGUUUCAAAGUGUAUUGCUUUGCUUGAUCCAUUAUGCAGUGGCGUGCACUCCUCAAAAUGAAUUGGGCACUGCCUCUCACAAUCAGUGUCCCUAGCCAUCCGAUUCCAAAGUUUUUUACUCAGAGUGUGUCUUCAUCCAUUAGACAAGUUCAUUAAAAUGAGCGUUUGAUUGAUGGAUGGAUAGAUAGAUACGUAUGCUAUGUGAUCAAUCAGAUCGUUGCAGAAUAUUUACUGUGCAGGAAGCAGUUUUUUGUUCACCUGUCAGUAUUCAAGUUUGGUGAAUUUAGUCUGUGCACAAUUACAUUUUGUCUCUGAAGGCUACAUCUUGGGAUGUUAACCCCAUUCACCCCGUAUGAAUGAAUCAUUUUAUUGUUAAAUUAGAAAACCUUAUAAAGUAACAAAGGCCAAUGGCAUGUGUUUGCACAACACUUGACUACAACAACACUUGACUUACAACCAGCCCCUCUUCACAUGAGGUUGGAUAUGUGGCAAUGAUUUUACCUAUCAAAUGAGAUCCCCUGACAUUGUCAGCUCUUUUUCCAAAAUGGGUCCCCAGCCUUCUCCUCAUGAGUUGCACAUACCUGGCUGCAUCUCCAGCAUAAAAUAUAUGACCG